RNAcentral lists this ribosomal RNA (492 nucleotides) under uncultured bacterium. Its description in RNAcentral is "partial 16S ribosomal RNA". It matches the Rfam family "Bacterial small subunit ribosomal RNA", at positions 29 to 507 of the family's 1533-position model. The record is from RNAcentral.
AGUGAACGCUGGCGGUAGGCCUAACACAUGCAAGUCGAACGGCAGCACAGUAAGAGCUUGCUCUUACGGGUGGCGAGUGGCGGACGGGUGAGGAAUACAUCGGAAUCUACUUUUUCGUGGGGGAUAACGUAGGGAAACUUACGCUAAUACCGCAUACGACCUACGGGUGAAAGCAGGGGAUCUUCGGACCUUGCGCGAUUGAAUGAGCCGAUGUCGGAUUAGCUAGUUGGCGGGGUAAAGGCCCACCAAGGCGACGAUCCGUAGCUGGUCUGAGAGGAUGAUCAGCCACACUGGAACUGAGACACGGUACAGACUCCUACGGGAGGCAGCAGUGGGGAAUAUUGGACAAUGGGCGCAAGCCUGAUCCAGCAAUACCGCGUGGGUGAAGAAGGCCUUCGGGUUGUAAAGCCCUUUUGUUGGGAAAGAAAAGCAGCAGGUUAAUACCCCGCUGUUAUGACGGUACCCAAAGAAUAAGCACCGGCUAACUUCGUG